GGCGCAUUAGCUAGUUGGUGAGGUAAAGGCUCACCAAGGCGACGAUGCGUAGCCGACCUGAGAGGGUGAUCGGCCACAUUGGAACUGAGACACGGUCCAGACUCCUACGGGAGGCAGCAGUGGGGAAUAUUGCGCAAUGGGGGAAACCCUGACGCAGCAACGCCGCGUGAGUGAUGAAGGCCUUCGGGUUGUAAAGCUCUGUCUUCUGGGACGAUAAUGACGGUACCAGAGGAGGAAGCCACGGCUAACUACGUGCCAGCAGCCGCGGUAAUACGUAGGUGGCAAGCGUUGUCCGGAUUUACUGGGCGUAAAGGAUGCGUAGGCGGAUAUUUAAGUGGGAUGUGAAAUACCCGGGCUCAACUUGGGUGCUGCAUUCCAAACUGGAUAUCUAGAGUGCGGGGGAGGUAAGUGGAAUUCCUAGUGUAGCGGUGAAAUGCGUAGAGAUUAGGAAGAACACCAGUGGCGAAGGCGACUUACUGGACCGUAACUGACGCUGAGGCAUGAAAGCGUGGGGAGCA
Molecule: ribosomal RNA, 518 nt
Filed under: uncultured bacterium
Lineage: Bacteria
Description: bacterial SSU rRNA
Rfam family: Bacterial small subunit ribosomal RNA
Source: RNAcentral